This 1983-nucleotide long non-coding RNA is filed under the name Marmota monax (woodchuck). Lineage: Eukaryota; Metazoa; Chordata; Mammalia; Rodentia; Sciuridae. The record is from RNAcentral.
AUUCUAAAAUAUGUCCAAUGAUAAAAUCAUAAAAUAGAAAAGGAAUAUUUCACCUUAUUCAGCUAUAAAUAAAUACACUCCAUAGCUAAGAAAACCCUGAGCCUCAAUGUAGUAAGCAGAGCAUUUCAAAGUGAUGAACACAGCAAGAGCUUGUGUUGAGGGAGCAUAGAUAUGUCAGGCUCAAGGGGCAGGGAAGGUCCUCCCACCUGGUCCUGCUCACUGAAACACUCCAUGAUCACCCUCCCAGGAGACCUGGACCAUGACUCCAGUCUACGAGGCUUUCAGGUUUGCACAGCACUGCACUGCACUGGGGUGGGUGGUCCUAUGCUCUGGGAGAGUUUUCCUCCUUCACAACUGUGAGAGAAUGCAAGGGCAGGAAUCACUGCUGACCUGACCCCUCAGCACCAGCAUCCACAGGCUCACUGUCCACCUGUCUUCAAGAAUAGAAACAGGGCUUGGGGAGAUAAUAUCCAUAGAAGGUAGCUGUCCAGAUAAGGCCUGUUCCAGAAGAUUCCUCAGCCCCAGGACCUUCUGAUGCUCCCCUGAGAGGCUGUACCCCACACCUCAGGCUGUCCUCUAGGAGGAGCUGACCCAGGGCCUCAAAUUCUCUGCCCCCUACAGGACUUAGGUCACUGUUGCACCUGGGCAGCCCCAGAAAAGGAUAGAACAGUGGCUGAGAACACAGAACCUUGUGAAGAGUCUAGAGGAAACUGCUACCCAAAGACAAUAAGGCCUCUAUGCCUGGGAAAGGCAAGGAAAGACGGACCCAAAGGGUUUUAACAGUGGAGUUCCAAUGAUGUUCUCUACUUUCUCCUCUUGACAAAUGUUCACAAACAGAAACAAAUAUUUAAAAAAGUAUCAUCCAUUACCCAGCGAAAAAAUGAUAAUUUAUUACUGUGCCCACUUUAAUGUAAUGAGGGAAACAAAGAGCUGAUAAUGCUGAAAACUAGAGGGGGUAUCUGGAAAUGUGGGAGAGUCUAAAGGACUCCUUCCAGGGUUGGUGUGAGCAGCCUGGGCCUCUGCAAGGGAGGCUGCACAGAAUGCUCUCACUGGACCUUCAGUGACCUCCUCUUGCAGGACCAAUUCUGGCCUUGGUUUAAAGUUACUGGGAUCAAGGAUCUCUUUCCUCAAAUUGUCAAUCAAAAGAGACACAGUGUUAUAAGAAUCCAGGGGGGAAAUCACUCAAAUUCAUAGUUUAUGUUUAUAGGAGGAAUUGCAUAGCUCUGGUCAACAGAAUCAGUGUUAAACAUUCACCUACAGUUCACAAGGUACAGAACAGACCAUCCACUGCCAAACCCCUGCAAGUGCAGGAGCUGAUGUUUUGGUGAAUCUUUGUAAUGAACCAAUUCAUCCACCACAAUGUAUUGGAGAAAUGUACUAACUUUCUGCAACCACAUUGGAACAAGAUCAUCUCUAUUUUCCCAAGGGCAUUCCCAAAGCACAGCCCUGGAAUUCUUCUACCCCCACACCUCCGAAACUAACAUAUCUGAGAGAUGUAGUGCUCUCACCCUAGAGGAGAAAAAAGGUACAUAAAAAAUUUUAACUAACCAGGUGCAGGCCUGUAAUCCCAUUGCCUCCAGAGGAUGACACAGGAAGGAUACAAAUUCAAAACAAGCCUCAGAAACAUAGCAAGGCCCUCAAAUGCUUGGUAAGACCCUUUCUCAAAAGAAAAAAUAAAAAGUCUGGAGAUUCUCAGCAUAAUCAAUAUGUGAAGAGAAAGCCUACACAAUGGGAAAAAAUCUUUACCACACACACCCCAGAGCACUAAUCUCUAGGAUAUGUAAAGAACUCAAAAACACUAAACACCAAAAGCAAAAAAAAGAAAAAGAAAAAACAAAAACCAAAAUCCAAUAAAUAAAUGGGCUAAGGAACUGAAAAGAUACUUCAUAGAAGAAGAAAUACAAUCAAUCAACAAAUGUAUGGAAAAAUGCUCCCCAUCUCUAGCAAUUAGAAAAAUGGAAAUCAAAACUACUCUAAGAUUUC